AUCGAUAACCAUUUUAUAUGCACAAAGAUCAUUUCAUUAUUGGCCAAAUGGAAAACAAAUAUGUUCAUGCCAUAUUGUUUGAAGCUACUCAAUGAAUAACAUCCAGUAUGACAUGAACCUUUUGAAUAAAUUGGAAUCAUAGAUAUCUAAAUAAGCAACAUCCACCUUCAGGACCUGAUGCACAUAAGAAAUGGCCUCUCAGGAACCAUAUCCAUUCAAGUAGGCUGUAAAGGGAAAGAAAAAUAAAGUUAAAUGAUUAACAAUGUUGAUAGCACAUACCAAAUGACAGGACCAGGAGAUAUGCAGUCAAUAAGCAUGGGAAGGAAAUGCCUUUCCUUAUAUCCUUAGAAGUGAUCCUUAGGAAACGAUAAGAGAACAAGAGUCGGCAUGCACCAUACUAUUAUCGAUACAUUGACUAAGCAAUCAGAAUAAUAUACUUCUCAACAUUUAAUCUGUAUGUUAAAACAAAGGCAAGUGUGCUCUUAUUUGGAUCAUAGAAAACCCAGCAUGACUACUUGACUGCUAUUAUUCCCAGAGGCAAGUUUGGGAAUAUGAUAUCUUUGUAUGAUACUCAAUUCAGUUGAGAAUAUAGCAAGAAACAUCAUCCCACUGUGUAAUCUCUCUCCUUUAUUUGCGUGAUACUUCCCUAAAGCCAACGCCAUGUGGAAUCUUUCUCUACAGUUCACUUGUAUAUACAGGGACCAAUUUGAUCUUUUUCGCAUGAAUGCACCAAUUUUAAGCUACAACCACAGACCACAGAAAAGAGACCAAGAGGAUGUUUUACCCUACCUACAUGAUACAUCUAUAAAUAGCAAAACCACCCUGGAAAUAAACUACAAGUAGAAUGGCACCUGCAUGAAACCAAUCUGUUCUAGCUUCUGAGGUAUGUUAUUAACAAAAUACUAAGACAUUCAUAAACCUUCUUGGCCACAUGCAGUCACAUAGUGUGCCAUGUGAGUCAACAGAUUACUAAACGUAAAUGACAACAUUAUAAUAGCAAAGCACUUGAGUCAACAGAGUACUACACGCAAAUGACAGUAAAACAUGACAACCCAAUGCCAUCCUGCUAUUCAAGCAUUUCUUUAAUCAGGGUUAGAUGCAAGAAUGAAAUUUUGUAGACAAGCAAGAGCAUGUACGACUGUAAUCUAGUAGUAUGAAAUUAGCAAGAACGCGUAUAGUUUUCCAGAAAUACUAAAUACUCCCUCCGACCCAAAAUUCUUGUCUUAGAUUUUUCUAAAUACGAAUGUAUCAAGUCACAUUUUAGUAUUAGAUACAUCCGUAUCUAGACAAAGCUACGACAAGAAUUUUGGGAUGGAGGGAGUACUAAAUAGAAAAAAUCACAUGCUUUUCCUGUUUGAAUUGAUUUAAAAUCUUAUUACUAAUACAUAUAACCAUAUUGACAGGUUUCCUAACUAUAAUCAUUCAGUUUGAUGGAUUAAUCCCUACCCACCUAGUACUGAAAUGAGAAUCAGCUCUGCUUUCAUUCAUGAUGCAAACUCUUGCACGUAAGAACUAAAUUUGAAUCUAGAGGGAGAGGGCGGCUAGAGACUGUGAGGGAGGAAGGAGAGGAAGAUUACUCAUGCCAUGCAAAACUCCUGUAGUGCACGUGGUUUUGAUGGCACACUACAGGUAGGUGCUCAGAGUACUCCAAACUCCUACAAAACUGUACACAAACAGAGUACUUCAGUAGACGAGCCGUUCAAUUGGAGGAGUUCGAAAUUGUAAACAAACUCGUGAAAGUUCAUGUAAUGUUUGCUGCAACAGAAAAGAAGGUGAUCUUGAUAUUAGAGAACCAGUAACGUUUGCAAUAGCAAAAGGUUGGCAUCACCACGAGUAAGCAUAUGAAACACAUGAAGGUUUUCUCUCCUUUUUUGUAAAGUGAACAUGCAUUGGCUUUUAUCCAUUGAGACGUUGACCAAAGAGGCCCUACAUAUAUAUCGUGUACCUUGCUCCUCAAAAACAACAACUCUGUCCUAAGGGGAAAACAUUUAGGGAUUUUUUUAUCACAAGCUAUUUUACUAAUUCAAUUUUCAACAAUAACACUAGGUACGUACAAAUGGCUAGAAAUUCCUAGAGCGACCAAAAUGAAUAGAAACAGGAGUGGAACUUUGGUAAUGCUGGAAAGCUUCCAUUAUUUUUAGGUUGCCAUUGUAACGUUAAAAUAUUCUAACUCCAUUAAAAGGACAUAUUUUGAAAUGAUUUGGCAACACAACCAAAAAUAGGGGCAAACCUAUCACAGUUUUAGGGCAUGAUAGUAUGUAGACAGAAUGACCUAUUAGUUUGUAGAUAACAAAGCACAAAGUUAGAUGAAAGAAAUAUAUGAUUGACCUGUUACUGAAGAGAAAUAAUCACAUCUGGACAAGCACCUCAAAAUGUCCUUUUGACCAAUUACGCAACUGGAC
This 2402-nucleotide long non-coding RNA is filed under the name Triticum aestivum (bread wheat). RNAcentral's name for it is "long non-coding RNA (TAES_LNC016636)". The stretch from base 1193 to 1327 matches the Rfam family "MIR1120/MIR1122 microRNA precursor family". Lineage: Eukaryota; Viridiplantae; Streptophyta; Magnoliopsida; Poales; Poaceae. The record is from RNAcentral.